This 793-nucleotide ribosomal RNA is filed under the name uncultured bacterium. Its description in RNAcentral is "bacterial SSU rRNA". It matches the Rfam family "Bacterial small subunit ribosomal RNA", at positions 8 to 796 of the family's 1533-position model. The record is from RNAcentral.
AGAGUUUGAUCAUGGCUCAGGAUGAACGCUAGCGGCAGGCUUAAUACAUGCAAGUCGAGGGGCAGCAUAGGUAGCAAUACUUGAUGGCGACCGGCAAACGGGUGCGGAACACGUACGCAACCUUCCUUUAAGUGGAGAAUAGCUUUCGGAAACGAAAAUUAAUACUCCGUAAUAUUAUGAAAUGGCAUCAUUUUAUGAUUAUAGAUUUAUCGCUUAAAGAUGGGCGUGCGCCUGAUUAGGUAGUUGGCGGGGUAACGGCCCACCAAGCCUUCGAUCAGUAACUGGCGUGAGAGCGCGACCAGUCACACGGGCACUGAGACACGGGCCCGACUCCUACGGGAGGCAGCAGUAAGGAAUAUUGGUCAAUGGACGCAAGUCUGAACCAGCCAUGCCGCGUGGAGGAUGAAGGUCCUCUGGAUUGUAAACUUCUUUUAUUUGGGACGAAAAAAGAUCAUUCUUGAUCACUUGACGGUACCAGAUGAAUAAGCACCGGCUAACUCCGUGCCAGCAGCCGCGGUAAUACGGAGGGUGCAAGCGUUAUCCAGAUUUACUGGGUUUAAAGGGUGCGCAGGCGGAUAUGUAAGUCAGUGGUGAAAUCUCUAGGCUUAACCUGGAAAUUGCCGUUGAUACUAUAUAUCUUGAAUGCUGUGGAGGUAAGCGGAAUAUGUCAUGUAGCGGUGAAAUGCUUAGAUAUGACAUAGAACACCUAUUGCGAAGGCAGCUUACUACGCAGAUAUUGACGCUCAUGCACGAAAGCGUGGGGAUCAAACAGGAUUAGAUACCCUAGUAGUCC